Molecule: long non-coding RNA, 1708 nt
Filed under: Sus scrofa (pig)
Lineage: Eukaryota; Metazoa; Chordata; Mammalia; Artiodactyla; Suidae
Description: lncRNA (ENSSSCG00040072086.1)
Source: RNAcentral
AUGCCUGUGUAUUGUAGUGACUGGCUUCAUCCUCUUGGGAUAAAUGGCUGUGCUAUAACCAGUGAAAAACAUGUGCUUGUCCCCCCUUCUUUUUGUCCCAUACAAGGGAAUAAAUACAGGUUUCAGAGUCUAUCUUUUUGGGGAGAAGGCGGGAUGCUAAGAACUACCAAGCGCAGACUGACCACUGAACUUGGCUCAGUCAGUCCCAUGAGGAGGAUCUCACUUCAUUCUCAAGAGACCCCCAGGAAGAAGACAUUAUAUCUCCCUCCCCAAGGGUUUUCUGAUGAAGAAAUCAAAAUGUGGAGAGGUUUUCGCAGUCUCCGAGGUGACUGCCUCACUUCAGAGCAGCACUCCACGACAUCACUAUAGCAGCACUUGCAACCACAAGCAAAUGCCAGCUGCUGCCAGCAACCCCCACACUGUUGGAGCCAGAAGUUGGAAGAUUUGUGCUUCCUCCUGCCAUCUGGUUUCCUCGUGAUGUUUUCUAUUGGUGGGACACAUAAUAAUCUGGCCGGUAAGAGAACUUAAGAAAUGUAGUUUGCAGACUUCCAACUCAAACCAAGUACAGAAGGGCAGAUGUGGAGCUGAGAGAUGACAAUGAUGGAUGAUGGAACAUAUGCACCCAUAAUAUUUGUCUUUAGAGAACUAAUGCUCACCUUUAAAAGGCUGGUAUUCUCCUUUGGAUGGUAACACAAAUACACACUAACCAUAUCACCUUCACUGCAAGAGAAUGGAGGAGGUGACUGGUGCUAACAACUCUACCACUAGGAUUCCUGGACAAGAGAUGAUGAUUUCACCCUUUUCAGGGCUAACGGCAUCAAUCUGUAGGCAUGGACUCUGCCUAGUUUACACUUGUCUUUGAGGUUAGAGAAAGAGAUGAGGAUGGAGGUCUCAAGGCCCCGCCAAGGGGAAUAUUUUUCAGCAUUAGCAGGCAGUGGACUCUCGGCCAAGACAGAAGAAUCAUUUUUAAGCCCAUGAUAUGCCAUUUUUUAAGAUUUUUGAAACAUACUGCCACAUUAUCCUCUAGAAAGACACUACCAAUUUGUACUCUCAUCAGCAGUGUUUGAGAGCAUGAACAUAAUCUUCAAUAAUCAGUGGGGAUGGGAUGGAAAACUGAUUGGUUUGGAAAAGUCAGGAAAACCUAUUGGAAUGUAGAGGUGGCAGAGGGGUAGGAAGAGGGCACUGGGAGAGACAAGGCAGGAAGAUGAAGCAGGGAGAGGGGUAGGUUGUCCUCUGGAAUAGAGUCAUGUCACCUGCCUCUUGACCCAACAUCCAUGUGACAAUGUGGUUUGGAGAGUACAGAGUCUUAACAGAGAGCUUUGUAAGCAGUGGGAAGGUGAGGACUGUUGAAGAAAGCCUCUGACAGUAUCUGUUGGAACAGAGUUGUCUUGACAACUGAGAAUUAAAGCUGUUCUACUCAGCUCCCCAUCCAUUCAUCCAAAGACUUCCUGAUGGUGCAAAUCAGACUGUGUGUCUGUCCUUGAACACAGCUUUCUUUGGGUUUUUUCUCCUUGUUCCCGUUUCAAUUUCUAAUAAAAAGGAUGUGGCAAUUUCCUCAUAAAAAUGUGUUUAAAUCUUUUUCAUUUCCUGACCAGAUUUUUUGCACGGUGCUGGCCCUUGUCAAGAUAUCAACUUUUAGUCUAGUUAUGUUCCUGUAUGUGUGUGUGUGUGUGUGUGUGUGUGUGUGUGUGGCUUUGUCAUGUCACAA